UUAGAGGCUGGGUCUGUUCGCUGUGACUAUAUCACUCGAGUGUCUCCGGUUUCAUCCCAAGAUGCUGCCUUUGCUGUUGCAACUGUUUCAAGAGUUCAGCCACAUCAGCACCGAGGACGGCCACUAAGUUGGAGCGAUAAGGCCUGGCUCGAAGUUCAUCCCAAAAGGUGUGGUUGAUUUCGGGGGGCCCAAGUUUGUCUUCAUCAAACUGGGGAGAAGGCCUUUCUUCAUGGACCUCGCUUUCUGCACAGGGGCGUCGUCAGUUCAAGCAGGAAAGGGAGAAACAAACUGCUGCCACAGCAGGAGCUGCAGGAUGAUUUACAGGAGAACAAAAAGAGACAAACCCUCGUUUUAGGGGCUCACAAACCAAAAAGGUUGGGAACCACUGCUAUAAAUUUUUUUGUGUGAAAAAUGGGAUACGCUAAACUCUUUAGCAUCUAAAAAUGCAUCAAAUUGAAGAGGAGAAAUCACUCUUUAGUGAAACUACUCAGGUGAACAUGUGACACAACUUCAUUUGAAGGGGUCAUGAGUUAAAAUGGUUGGGAAGCACUAGUCUAAGGUACAGUACACAAAAGUAACAUACUUUUGCCCAUAGUGUUGAUAGACAGACAACAAUUCACCUUGUACAGUAAUAUAUAAUAAUAUAUAGACAUAUACUGUCCAUAUAAACACAUUAUGAAUUCCAGUUUAAACCACAUUUUGCCGUGGGCAGCAGCAUCAGCUGGUACUUCAGAGUCGUCUUUAUCUGCCAGUUUUAAGAGACGUGACUUGGUGUCCGUGUGGGCGCAGAAAAGAAGUCUCCCUGACUGAUUCAAUGCCAACAUAAAAAAAGAAAAAUCUGGCAUUCAUGUGGAGGCAAGAGUUUCAGGUAACUCAAUCUAAAUAUCAAUGUCACCUAAUGCAAAUACAAUCUGAGCCAGGGCGAGACAGUUAAUGCAAAUAAAGCGUAUUUGCAACACACAGCCACUUUCACCCCCCCCACGCUUCACACUUGCAUACAAAGUAUUCCCUUCUGGUGUCCAGGCUAUCGUCUGCAUUUGUUUCACACCCUGAGUGGGAAGGAGACUUGUUUAUCACAUGCAUAUGACAGCCUCAAGGGUAGGUAGGAUUAAACUUUUGGCUUUUACUUAAAGUGGCUGCAGCAAAUUUCAUUCAACCUCCUCUGGCUCAGAUCGUCCCCUCAAGCUAAGAAGGGCAAUCUGAGGCAAGCCAAGCGUUUUUACCCAUAUGCUGGUUCUGUGACGUAGCUUUUGUGGGUCUGUAAAGCCUGUUAAAAUAUUGUAUGUGAUACUGGACUGUACAAAUAAACUUGAUUUUACUUUUGUCACUGA
Molecule: long non-coding RNA, 1331 nt
Organism: Anarrhichthys ocellatus (wolf-eel)
Lineage: Eukaryota; Metazoa; Chordata; Actinopteri; Perciformes; Anarhichadidae
Exons: 2
Source: RefSeq, a predicted model, not a curated record